This 502-nucleotide ribosomal RNA is filed under the name uncultured bacterium. RNAcentral's name for it is "partial 16S ribosomal RNA". It matches the Rfam family "Bacterial small subunit ribosomal RNA", at positions 30 to 523 of the family's 1533-position model. The record is from RNAcentral.
AUUGAACACUGGCGGCAGGCUUAACACAUGCAAGUCGAGCGGGGUGAUGGUGCUUGCACUAUCACUUAGCGGCGGACGGGUGAGUAAUGCUUAGGAAUCUGCCUAUUAGUGGGGGACAACAUCUCGAAAGGGAUGCUAAUACCGCAUACGUCCUACGGGAGAAAGCAGGGGAUCACUUGUGACCUUGCGCUAAUAGAUGAGCCUAAGUCGGAUUAGCUAGUUGGUGGGGUAAAGGCCUACCAAGGCGACGAUCUGUAGCGGGUCUGAGAGGAUGAGCCGCCACACUGGGACUGAGACACGGCCCAGACUCCUACGGGAGGCAGCAGUGGGGAAGAUUGGACAAUGGGGGAACCCUGAUCUAGCCAUGCCGCGUGUGUGAAGAAGGCCUUAUGGUUGUAAAGCACUUUAAGCGAGGAGGAGGCUCUUUUGGUUAAUACCCAAGAUGAGUGGACGUUACUCGCAGAAUAAGCACCGGCUAACUCUGUGCCAGCCGCCGCAGUAA